ACUCCUACGGGAGGCAGCAGUAGGGAAUCUUCCACAAUGGGCGCAAGCCUGAUGGAGCAACACCGCGUGAGUGAAGAAGGGUUUCGGCUCGUAAAGCUCUGUUGUUAAAGAAGAACACGUAUGAGAGUAACUGUUCAUACGUUGACGGUAUUUAACCAGAAAGUCACGGCUAACUACGUGCCAGCAGCCGCGGUAAUACGUAGGUGGCAAGCGUUAUCCGGAUUUAUUGGGGCGUAAAGAGAGUGCAGGCGGUUUUCUAAGUCUGAUGUGAAAGCCUUCGGCUUAACCGGAGAAGUGCAUCGGAAACUGGAUAACUUGAGUGCAGAAGAGGGUAGUGGAACUCCAUGUGUAGCGGUGGAAUGCGUAGAUAUAUGGAAGAACACCAGUGGCGAAGGCGGCUACCUGGUCUGCAACUGACGCUGAGACUCGAAAGCAUGGGUAGCGAACAGGAUUAGAUACCCUGGUAGGAUAGCG
RNAcentral lists this ribosomal RNA (474 nucleotides) under uncultured bacterium. Its description in RNAcentral is "bacterial SSU rRNA". It matches the Rfam family "Bacterial small subunit ribosomal RNA", at positions 335 to 801 of the family's 1533-position model. The record is from RNAcentral.